CAAGCUGACACGAGACACUGUGACAUUUGAGGCUCCUGGGGGGCCGUACACUAUGGAGGUCGAGAAAGGACGCAAUAUGUCGCAGAUUGGAGGAGAUGGAUGGGCCCGUUUCAUCGCUCGCAUGCGUCUUACUGGUGAUGAUGAAGAUGAUGAAGAUAAUGAGGACCCACUCGAUGAAGAUGAUGAUGACCCACUUCAUGAAGCCAUC
This 208-nucleotide ribosomal RNA is filed under the name Triticum aestivum (bread wheat). Its description in RNAcentral is "partial small subunit ribosomal RNA". The record is from RNAcentral. Lineage: Eukaryota; Viridiplantae; Streptophyta; Magnoliopsida; Poales; Poaceae.